GCUCUAGCCGUGCUCAACGCUAGCAUACCGGCAAGGCACCACAUGACACCACAAACACGGUAAAUCCUGCACCUCCGAACACCACCAUAACAAUAACACGGCAGCAGCACCAACUGGACCGGCUAUGGCAAAAAAAAUAAUUUUUACCUCAAGAAAAAGAACUACUGGACGGCACUGACGACCAAGCCGUAACCCACAUCUCGAUGAAUGGAGCAUCCUCCAUCGGAAAACGUAGGGGGCCUUCCGCGAAGGACUAAUAUGCGAGGUACCAACAAAAACCUCCAUAGACCAAAAGUAUGCCUAAAAAUAAAGCGCCAGACUAUGCUUAGUCGAAAUAAGCCUGGAUACCAAGAUCCACCGGGCAAUAUCCGGGUCAAAAACAUGUGUGGCCAAAACACUCCUUGGAGCAUAACAUGUGCCAAAGUU
This is a long non-coding RNA of Stomoxys calcitrans (stable fly), 426 nucleotides long. RefSeq lists it as uncharacterized. The record is from RefSeq and is a predicted model, not a curated record. Lineage: Eukaryota; Metazoa; Arthropoda; Insecta; Diptera; Muscidae. The transcript has 3 exons.